CGAGUUGACCAGACAAUCGCUGGCUAGUUUACGUAAGUAUUUCUAGCGGGAGGAAAGUCCGGGCUCCAAUGAGCAGGGUGCCAGGUAACGCCUGGGCGGCGUGAGCCGACGACAAGUGCAACAGAGAGAAGACCGCCGAUGACCUAAUUACUUUAUUUAUAAGGUAAAGAGGCACAGGUAAGGCUGAAAGGGUGCGGUAAGAGCGCACCGGGCCACUGGUAACAGUUGGCAGCAGGGUAAACUCCACCUGGAGCAAGACCAAAUAGGGUUUCAUGAUUAUUGUUACGCAAGUUACAAUGAUAUAAGCGUGGCUCGCGUGGAAACCGGGUAGGUUGCUUGAGCUAUAGAGCGAUUUAUAGCCUAGACGAAUGAUUGUCAUCUCAUUUACUUUUAGUAACUGAGCUACAAAACCCGGCUUAUGUGGUCAACUCAACUA
Molecule: RNase P RNA, 436 nt
Filed under: Colwellia sp. MT41
Lineage: Bacteria; Pseudomonadati; Pseudomonadota; Gammaproteobacteria; Alteromonadales; Colwelliaceae
Description: Bacterial RNase P class A
Rfam family: Bacterial RNase P class A
About the family: Ribonuclease P (RNase P) is a ubiquitous endoribonuclease, found in archaea, bacteria and eukarya as well as chloroplasts and mitochondria. Its best characterised activity is the generation of mature 5'-ends of tRNAs by cleaving the 5'-leader elements of precursor-tRNAs. Cellular RNase Ps are ribonucleoproteins.
Source: Rfam by way of RNAcentral